GGCUCCAGGCUCUGAGCCAUCAGCCCAGAGCCUGACGCGGGGCUCGAACUCACGGACCGCGAGAUCGUGACCUGGCUGAAGUCGGACGCUUAACCAACUGCGCCACCCAGGCGCCCCACUGCAGUGGUCUUCUAAAUGUGGAUUGCCUUCGUCUUCAUUAUCAGUGUCACCAUUGCUUACUGAGUGUCUACUAUGUUCAGAAUGUUGCUAGCAUGCCAUGUUCUAUAGACUGGAAAAGAGAGUACUGGGGGAGAGAAAACAGACCUGGGAUGAUAAAGGAGCCCAUCAUUAACUCCAAGGUGAUAAACCAGUGGGAGAGUCCGCAGUGCAGAGUGAGAUGGGAGGCAGCUGGAGGAAGUAGAAUCCAAGGCUUGGGAAGAUGAGCACUUAAGCAUGUGGAGAAGGUUUUGGGCAAGGUGUUGAGUGGUAAACAUGUGAGGGAUAGAAAUCCACAUGGAGUGGUAGGAGAGCUGUGAGCUGAAAAGUUAAGCUGGGAAUAGACUCUGAUGGGUGUAGUACGCCCAUAUGGGAAGUCUGGGCUUUGUCCUGUGGAAGUGAGGGUAUAGGAGGGGCAUGGACAGAAUUGGGGAGAGUGUGAUGUAUGGAAAAUGCUCUUGUAAAGAAAAUGUGGAGGUAGUGUGUAGGCUGGCUUUGAAGGGAAGGAAUUAGGAGACCUCACAGAAGUCUUCUGUGACAGUUUGUUCCUCUUCCUUAAUUCAUUCAAAACACGGGAGCUGCCAGAUUAAGUUCCUGAGCCACAGUUUUGAUCAUACACUCUCCUGCUCAAAUGACCUCGGAGAUUCUCUGUGCCUUGAGUGGCUCUUUGCUGGGUUUGGGGUGGCCUUUGUAAUCACACUUUAGCCCAUCUCCUCCCCUUCAGGAACCAACAUUUGGCUCUCACACAGAUUUUCCGUUUUCUUGAACCUGCGUGGGAAAUUGUGCUGUUUGAAAUUUCACCAAUCUUUCUCAUGCUCAUAAUGCCUUUCAUGGCCUCUCAGCCAGUAGUAUUCUUACCCCUGCUCAUGAAACUUCCCUAAUACUUACUGCCUGUACUGUUCAUUUUUGAUUAAUCAACAACUGACAUUUCUUUUGUAGCUGCAGAAACUGUUUAAUUAGCAUUCAUGUUGUUGUUUGUAUGUUUUUGUUUUGUUUCUUCAACAGUCUGUAACAUCCUUGACCCUUUUGUAGGUGGCUACAGCCAUUAUAUUGGUAUCUACUACUGCCCCAGUUAUGGUAUUUUGAACAUGGUAAUAUUUGCUGACCUUCAGUUUUGUUUUAGCUUGUCAAAACAGCCAGGCAGAUUAUGCAAGAUUCGUGGGGCUCAGGGCAAUAACACAUUUGAAGGUCCCAGCUUUUAUCAGGGUGGUGGGCAUUGAAUGAGUAGAUCUAGGAAGAACUUUCAUUUCUUCUAGUCUUCUUGUCCCUUUCUAUAGAUGGGUUUUCAAUGACCACAAGGGAGUCAAGAACAUCCCCUUGACUUACUUUGGGCAGUGGGUUCCCAGCUCCCCUUACAAGGCGGUCCUGUUUUCAAAGGGAAGAAUCUACUUAGAUUCUUGUCUUGAGAUUUUUGUCUUGAUAUAAUUGUCCCUGAAAACCGGGAUUUAAUAUCAACUAAGUUAAACUUUUUUGAUCCCAACUAUCCAGAAGUAAGUUAAAAAUGGAUGCUUACACUUUGCUGUUAAGUAGGUCAGAAGGUCUGCAGAGCAAAAUUAGCAUUAUAUGGAUCAGAGAAAUAAUUGCAAACACCUAAGUUAACAAAGACUAAUGGCUGGAAAACUUUGGUCAGGGGUGUUAAAACACUUGCUUUUUAGAUGAAGGUGAUAUAUUCUGAGGAUUUUAGAUUAGUUUUCUUCUCACCUCCAGGGUUGGCAGACUGGUGUGCAUUAGAGGUAAGGACUAAGUGGGGAAUAUGGGGUGGCUUUAUGCUUUUAUUGAGGAACCUAGUGCACCAAUUUUCCAUUAACGUAAGCCAUAUUAAUUUGUAGGGGUGAUAAUUGGGACUGUUGGCUAGCUGAUUCUUCCCUGUGUGCUGCUAUGCAAAGAAAGGGACAAAAAUGAAAAAUACAAGCAAGAGAACUGAGAGAAUGUUCGAAAGAGCAAACAGUUGUAAGUUCUUUUAGCUGCAGCAGAGGCACUUAUGUGGAAACAGCUGACCUGCUAAUUAGAAAACAUCCUUGCCUAUUCAUUAAAUUAAUUAUCCUAAGGAAUUCUGCUAGGCAACACUUCGUCUAGUUCUAAUUAUUAUGUGCCCUUGAAAGCAAUAAACUGCACUUUUAGAAUAAAAUUUUAUAAUUUAGACAUCUACAUGGCUUACUCAGACACUUCCUGUAAUUAGAGUAGGAUAGUAAUGAGGGGUUACAUUUUGGUUUUUAUUAAAAAGGCUUAUCCACCUCUUCAUAGGGAGAUUAUAAUGAAUUAUUAAAUAAUGUAUGUUUAGAUUUGAGAACUCCUUGGAGAUCAUUAUUGUUCAAAUAUGAGAGGUUUUUAAGGUUAUCUUUUUGGAUUACUUUGGAUCUUUAUUUUUUUGAAUGAACAUCAUAUUAUGAUUAAAGAUAGUAGUAAAACUUUUCUGUCAUAAACUGACACGUUCAAGUAAGAAUAAGGUGAAUCAUCAUUCAUGCAGCCACAUUAUCCUGUUUUCCCCACUUUAUCCUGCAGAGCGUUUUCUAACCUUAAUCAGAACUCUGGUUAAAAAGUGCAGGAAAAGAACACCUACUGUAUACCCCCAGGGGUCUGCCCAUGAGAGCAAUUCUGUGAAAGGUGAGCUGAUCUAAAACAAUGAGCUGGUGUUAUUGAGGAGAACUUGGCUGGCUCUUGACCAGUGUUUGGAUUGGGCCAUAUAUGUUUCAGUCUUAGGAGUGUAUGCUUCAGAGGUCAGUGCCUGGGUCCAAAGCUUCCAUCUAGCACUGUGAUCUGGGCAUUCUCCAACUGGCUGACCUUGGACAAGUUACUUAAAGCUCUGUGCUUCAGUUUUCUUAUCUGUAAAUGGGGCUAACAUUAGCUCCCACCUCCAAGGGUUGUUGUGAGGAUUAAAUGAGUCCCUUCAUGUAAAGUGCUCUUACAUAGUAAGGGCUUUAUUCACUUAUCCAUCCAUCCAUCCAUCCAUCCAUCCAUCCAUCCAUCCAUCUGUUACUUAUUCAUUCCACUCCUAUUUAUUGUGCACUUACUGUGUGCUGGGCCCUGCUGUGGAGAUUGCUGUUAGGGGUACAGGAGUCAAACAGAUGAGGUCCCUGUCCUAUUGGAACCUAAGUUCUAGGGGGAAGAGACACACUAUAAAUAACUAAAAUUAACAAGUUCAGGUACUAAGUGUUAAAAAGACAAUAGCUAGGGAAAUAGAGAGUGACUGGGUUGUAAGGAGAGAGGUCAUUGUUAACUAGGGUGGGUAGAAAUGGCUUUUGAGGAGGUGACAGUUAAGCUGAGGCCUGAAUGAUGAGAUAAAUAUCAGCUUUGAUUAAAAUAAAAAAGUUUUCUUUUGUGUUGGUGGCUGUUUCCAUAUUCUUAUUUUAAAAUUUCUUAACAUCAGUAUAAAAUCCUUUGUAGCAGGACACCACUAGGAGACCUUGAGCCCCUCCUAGUAGCACAUGACUGUGUUCAAACCAGUCAUUGUCAACAUCUUGGAGCUCAUUGUCUCCAAACUUCAUCUUGUCAGUACCCAGAUCUGCCCACCCCUGGGUCUCUCUCCCUUGGCUCCAGCUGGGUGCUCACCCACCUUGUUAUGCCUGAGUUCCUGAAAGAGCCUGACUCCAUUGUUCCCCACUGAUAGAAAGUACAGGAUUGGGUUGAGGCAGCUGCUCAUGCUCACCAGUGGUCUCCAUAGCUUAUAGGCCAAGCUGGCCACCAUCAAGAGCUGGCAGUCCUCUGAAGAUAGGUAGCGGAGUGUGAGGUAGAGGGAGCGUGUGAUGUGGAAGGGCACAAAGCAGACGGUGAAGAGGCCGCACACCAGCAAGAUGGUCCGGAUGGACUUGGUCCGGGCUGCAUUGCCUGUCCUUAUGAGGGUCUCUCCUGGCUUGAUCAGUCUCUUCACCAUCAGCGAGUAGCACACCAAGAUGAUCAAAGAAGGAAAGACAAAGCCAGACAACGUUAGAACCAUGCCGUAGGUGAAAAACCGAUCAAAAUUUUCAGGGCUUGUCAUGUCGUAACAGACCAUCUGGCCGUUGAUGUAGUCUGUUUGGGAGAAGAACAGUGUGGGCAGUAGCUGGACGACCACCAGGGCCCAGGUGGUGGCAGUACCCAGGAAGGCAUGCCAGCGGGUCCGGUAGGGCAGUGAACGCAGGGGGUGGCACACGCCCAGGAAGCGGUGCACAGAGAUGCAGGUCAGUAGCAGGAUGCUGCCAUAGAGGUUGGUGUAGAACAGGAAGCGCACCAGCCUGCACAGCAGCUCCCCGAAGGGCCACCUGUCACCCAGGGAGUAGGUGAUGAUGAGAAAGGGUAGCGUCAGCACAUAAAGCAGGUCAGCUACCAUCAGGUUCACCAGAUAGAUGGUGGCACAGCUCCAGCGCUUGCUUUGACGCCAGGAGAGCCACAAGACCAUGACAUUCAGGGGCAGCCCUAGCACGAGGAUGAUACUGUAGGUCAGGGAGAGGUAGACUUGCUUGUAGUCCUCCGAGAACUUGCAGAAUCUCUGUUCCUUUGAGGCAUUAGUAUCCAGCAUCUCCAUCUCCUGGGAAGCUCCCUCUGGGACCAUAACUGCUCCUGCUUGUGCUUUCCCUGGGAGGAAAGAAAAUGGGCAGCAUAGCAUCAUGACCUUGGCUGAGUGUCAGCCUCUCCCUUGAUCUGGCAUUUUACUCUGUGUUCCCAAAGUCUGGUCAGAGUCCUUGUUUGAAAGAGGCUAACUCCAGGAAAGAAAAUGUAAAUUCAAGGGCACAGCAGCCUUUAAAAGCCGAGCUUGUAGACUUACCAGGUCCAGAGGGCUGGCCCUACGCUAUCUUGUAUGCUUGCUGCUCUAGGCUGGGUUGUGACAGGAGGCCCAAACACACAUGGUGCUUCCUGUCAUUUAAACAGGGUAUACAACCUGGAACAGUGUGACUGCUCCUCUGGCUAGAGUCCUUUGCAUAGAGUCAGGAAAUCUCCAAGGGGAUUUUUAUUUGUAUCUCUUUCAGGAUUUAUUAACUGCCUAUUUGAAUACUGAGGCUGAUUUGCUUAUUAACCAUCUCAGCAUCCCGGACAUCCAAGAAAACAGAUGUGAGCCAUGAAGCCAGGAUUUCACAGUCUGGUGGGGAAGACAGAAACCAAUACAGCUAAUUGUAACCGUGUAAAGAGUGGUCAACAAAAUGCUGUGAAGACCAGCAGGAUGCAGCAGUUCUCUGCUAAGGGAGUCGAGUGAAGGCUUCCUAAUGAGGUGCCAUUUGAGCUGCUUGGGAGAAGAACAGAGACAAAGAAGGUUUCUGCUUCUUCUUUGCUUCUUCUGACUUGGCUUUCCCUCUGGGCAUCCUUUGGCUUCUACUACUGUUGCAGAUGGCUAACUCUGCACCCGGAAGCAAAGAACUUUUCCCGAGACUCUGAUUCACCCAGGUAUUUAUCGUUAUUCAGAAAGAGAAGAUACACGUGUGAGAAUGGGUUUUCUUUUCCACCAAACCCCAUUUUUCUUUAAUAAUGUCUAAACUAUGAACUUGCUUUCUACAAUACAUACUUAUAAUAGAAGCUUCUUAUGACUCUAAAACAAUUAUGGUAGCAAAUAUAAAAUUUGAAGCUCGUCUCCAACACAGAGUGUUUUAUUUGUUAAUAGUAUGCCUGUCAGAACUUUGAGAUAUUUUGUUCAUAUGUAAACCUUAAAUUUAAAUUGACAGUCCUAUUAAUGAUGGAAUGCAGCUAUGUAUGUUUAUGGUAAAAGAACAAAGUGGAUAUUUUUGAACCUUAUUAUAUGAAGACAGAUUAAAAACAGUAGUCAUAGAGAAUGAAAACAGGCCUUGAUGUCAUGUUCAGUAAAACAUGUCAGAAGUGAUGUCUCAGAAAGCACUAGGGUGAAAUACGAGGGGAAGAUGUGAAGUUGCAAGGGGUUUCAUUUAAACACGAGGCUCCUGUAUUAAUAUUUUCAUUGAUUUAUUUUCAUGCCAAUAUGUUCUGACAUAAAUAUGGUGAUCUAUAAUGUAUCGACCAUAAAAGUCAACAUUAUUUUUAAAGCUGACUCAGGGAAAUAAAACCUCAUUGUUAGUGCUGAUAUAUAUGGUAUGUUACCGUGUUGAAAAAUUAACCUCUCCUGCUCUGCUCCCGAUUGAGCUAAUAGGAGAGAUGCAUUUCAACACUGCUGACCUUUUGUGCAUGUUUUUCUUCAUGGCCAAAGUUUAGUUUGCAGUGGGCCUGGCCCAUGGUGUGAAGUAAAGAGCAACGCAUAUUCAUAUUCGACUUCCUUCUGAAAAGAACUUUGACAAGAAUGAAAGCUAAUCAGCAAGAAUCUUUGCCUUUCAGAGGAUCGAAAGGCCUGGGAAACUCUCUGGGUUAGAUACCUUGGAGCCCAUACCUUGCAUCUUCAGUAAACAGAGUGGCAUGAGGCCCCAAGAUGUAGAGGAACCUGGGGACAGUGUUGGCCAAGGGUGACCACAGAGGAGAGACUCAGUCUAGAGUGCCAGAGGCAGGGAUACACCCUUGUGUUCUGCGCAAGCCAACCACAAGAGUGAUAGGACCUUCUAUGAAAUGGUUCUACCAAAUGGAGAGUGAGCCAGGGAGAGUUUAAUUUAGCAGCAAAGGAAAGUAUGCUUGUAAGACCUGAGUUCCAAGCCACUAAGUUCCAGAACAGAAUAAAGUUUGCUGAAAAUAAGAAAGUGCUGAGAUUUUUAGAGCCAGAGAGGCCCCUGGGUGCCAGGCAGCUGUAGUCACUUGAUACAUGAGGAAACUGUCAAGUGAGCAGUUUGUCCAAGGUCAUAUAGAUGGGUAGUGGCCGAGCUGUGUCUAGGUUCCAGAUCUUCUGAUUCUCUGUCCCGUGCUCUUUCUGUUCCGUUUUAUCAAUAGGAGUCAUGACUGAUAAUAUAUGUUCAUGGAGGAUAUUCUACAGGACCUUUCAAAUCUGGUUUCCAACCCACCACUGUACUGCAACUGAUCUUGUCAAGGCUCUCAAUGGCCUCCAUGUUGCUACAUCCUAUGGAAACCUUCUGACUCCAUUUAAACCUCUAAUCAGCAUAGGCCACAUUCAUUGAAACGGUCUUCUCUUGCUUUCGCCAUUAGUUAGGGUUUCAUUGCUGGUGAGGGAAGCCCGUACCAUAGGGGGGACCAAGUAAAACAAUAACUUAUUGCUCAUAUAAUCACCGUCCUGGUAAGUGUGGCUUUAGUUACAGAUGUGCUACCAAGACUGCUUUCUCUAUAUUUCCUGGCUCCAUUUUCUCCAAAUUGGCUCCAUUUUCAUAUGUACUCUUGUCAUAGUGACAAGAUGGCUGUCAGAGACUCUACUUUUUCAUUUAAUGAUAUGCAGAUCCAGCAGGAAAAAUUAUGCCUCAGCCAGGGAUUCCUAGGAUUAGCACUGAUUGGUCCUAUUGUCUUGUUCUAAGUUCUGUGUCUAUCUCUGAACCAACCACUGUGGCCAGGGGAAUGGAAUGCAUUGAUUGGCGUAGGCCUUGGUUAAACGCUCCAACCCUAGGACCCUGAGGAGAGAAUUGGCUUCAUUCAAAUCCCGUGUAUUUAGAGUUGAAGUAGGCGUGGCUCUCCUAAAGCAUAUUUGGGGUCCUCUUACAAGAAAGGGAGUGAAUACCAGGCAGCAAAAUUAACAAAUACCUGUAACAACUUCUCUGAUGUGACAGUGCCCUAAUAUGCCUCCUACUUCACUCACCUGCCCUCCUCAACUUGAUCCUCAGGGCCCAGCUCCAGACCUUCUCCCCUUCCAUGUCUAUAUUUGCUCUCAAGGUGAUUUUAUCCAGUCCAUGGAAUAAAAUCUUUAACCCUGAGGCUAUGGUUACUGUGAAACUUGUUUUACAUAUUUGUUGUGGGGAAUUGCAUUUAUUCACUAUGUAUCUAUUAUAAGAAAUUGUAUAUAUUAGAGUAUGUCUGAGCAGGAGAUUGGAUUUAUGCACCCUAAGGUGUUACAAGCCAACCAGCACUGUUAAUGACCUCACUAAUUUUAUUCGGUAACUCCAUUUCUGCAUAAAUUCAUAAACCCAAUUUCUAGUCAGGAACCAUUAAAACCCUUUGUCUUGGCUUUCUUAUUAUAAGUUUAUUUGAGAAAAAUGAAUUUGUGGCUCUAUAAGAAUAAUUUCUGAUUAGUAUGUGAAGCUUGUUUUUUUUCAUGCUACCCAUGUCUUGAUAAGUCCCUAAUCCAUACUCACAGCUCAGUUCUGUGAGCUCCAGUCUUGUGUAUCUAACUGCCCGUUUGGCACUUCCUGGAUAUUUACAGGUUCCACCAGCCUAACCUAGCUAAAAGUGAGCUCCUGAUUUCCUCUUCCCUCCCUACCGCCCCACCAAAUCUGUGUCUCUGUACAACAAUCUUCGCAAGUUCAGUAAAUAGCAUUGUUUCCCCACAGUCCAUUCCAUUACUUUCACUCCGUCUGGAUUAUUCUGAUGUUGAGUUUGGUCCUAGGACUCAAAUCACAAGUCCAUUUUUCUGAAAACCUGUGUGUUCUUUGAUUGUAUCAUGCUCAUUCAUGCCCCAGAGUCUCUGCGAUUCCCCAUCCCCCUUCCUGCUUGGAGCACACUUUCCACAGCUCUUUCUCUGCAUGGCUGAAUUCAUCUUAUCCUUCAGAUCUUAGCUAAAAUGUCAUGUUCUGAGAGGGCUUUGUAUUAUCUAAAAACAAUUUGUACUGUAAUCCCUUACUAUAGCGCCUUGUUUAUAUGUAUAUGUGUAUAUACAUAUACAUAUGUGUGUGUAUACAUAUAUAAAUAUACACAUACAUAAAUAUAUUUAUACAUAUACAUAUGCACAUAUAUGUGUGUAUACAUAUAUAUAUAUAAAUAUAUAAAUUUUUUUUUUUUACAAAAUCUUUGCUUAUAGUUUUGCUUGGUUUUUGUCCACUUACCACUAAAAUGUAAAUUAAUUGAAGUCAUGGACUGUGUCUGUCUUGUUCUUUAUAUCCUUGGGCCUAGCAGUGCCUUGCACAUAAUUAGCAUUCAACAGAUCUUAGUGGAAUGAGGGAUUGUUCUGUUUGCUGUCUUAAAAGGGAGGGAUACAAGUGGCUUGUUCUAUUGAGGGUCAUGCCACCUUUCUCACCCCAGCAGGAUGGGCUUAAUUGCUGGAUUCAUACAGGUGGUAAUAGGCUGGCUUCUAAGACAGUGGUUGUUGGAUGACUACCAUCAUGGAUAGGCAUAAAGAGAAGUAGCUUGAGCCUCCAGCCCCCAAGGCCUUGACUCUGGGAGUGUUGGGCUUCUCUAUGGCUUGUACUCCUUAGCCUCCUUUUUAAGAGCAAAUGAUGCUGAGAUAGAACAUCUUAAUUUCAUGCAAAGGUUUUGAUUCCUUUGACAUUAGAUAUGCAUUCUUGAGAAAGAUAAGUAAAAAGCACCAGUAGUGAUCCCAUAACCAACUUUCAGCACUGCCCUUGGAAAGGAAGUUCUGUGCAAUGUGGAAGUGAAUACAUAAAAGAAGAAAACAUGAAUUAUGGCUUGUUCUCAUCUUUGGAAAUGGUGUAUGAGGUUAGUUUCUCUAUUCACAACUUUAUGAGUUGUUUGUGAUGACUGAGCAAACAUUUUUGUUGUUUUUGCUUUUUGUUGGUAACUGUAUCAGUCAGUUUUUACUAGGUGUGCUGCAAUAACAAAGAACUCUGAAAUCCUCCUGGCUUACAACAGCUAAGUUUUGUUUCUCACUCACAAUGUGCUAAUUGUGAGUCAGGUUCAGCUUUUCUUUGUGUCUCCUCUUCAUCCUGGGAUCCAGGUUGUAGGAGUAGUCCCAAUCUGGGACAUGCUUAUCUUACAGCAGAGAGAAAAAGAGAGAUAAAGGAAACAUGAAAUAGCUUUUAAAGCUUCUGUUUAGAAAUAGCAUGCUUCACUUCUUGUCACAUGUCAUUGGUCAGAGUAAUUCACACAGUCAAGCCUGAUACCAAUAAGGUGGUUUAAUCCUCUUGCAGAAAGGUAGAGCAAAUGAUUGGAAAUGUUAAUAUAAUCUUGCACAGGAGUUUUCUAAUGAAAACCUAAAAUACUGCUGCUGGAAAGUUUUGGCAAUAUGUAAUGAAUGAACAUUUAGUAAAGAAUGAAUGUUUUUUAAAAGCAUGUUUUAUAUAUUUUUAAAUGUUUAUUUUUGAGAGAGGAGAGAGAGAGCAAGCCAGGGAGGGACAGAGAGAGAGAGGGGACAGAG
Felis catus (domestic cat) is the source of this 10204-nucleotide long non-coding RNA. RefSeq lists it as uncharacterized. The transcript has 3 exons. NCBI's taxonomy places the organism in Eukaryota, Metazoa, Chordata, Mammalia, Carnivora, Felidae. The record is from RefSeq and is a predicted model, not a curated record.